RNAcentral lists this ribosomal RNA (496 nucleotides) under uncultured bacterium. RNAcentral's name for it is "partial 16S ribosomal RNA". It matches the Rfam family "Bacterial small subunit ribosomal RNA", at positions 28 to 507 of the family's 1533-position model. The record is from RNAcentral.
GAUGAACGCUGGCGGCGUGCCUAAUACAUGCAAGUCGAGCGAACAGACGAGGAGCUUGCUCCUCUGACGUUAGCGGCGGACGGGUGAGUAACACGUGGAUAACCUACCUAUAAGACUGGGAUAACUUCGGGAAGCCGGAGCUAAUACCGGAUAAUAUAUUGAACCGCAUGGUUCAAUAGUGAAAGACGGUUUUGCUGUCACUUAUAGAUGGAUCCGCGCCGCAUUAGCUAGUUGGUAAGGUAACGGCUUACCAAGGCAACGAUGCGUAGCCGACCUGAGAGGGUGAUCGGCCACACUGGAACUGAGACACGGUCCAGACUCCUACGGGAGGCAGCAGUAGGGAAUCUUCCGCAAUGGGCGAAAGCUUGACGGAGCAACGCCGCGUGAGUGAUGAAGGUCUUCGGAUCGUAAAACUCUGUUAUUAGGGAAGAACAAAUGUGUAAGUACUAUGCACGUCUUGACGGUACCUAAUCAGAAAGCCACGGCUAACUACGUG